GGGUUGUGAGGUUAAGCGACUAAGCGUACACGGUGGAUGCCUAGGCAAUCAGAGGCGAUGAAGGACGUGCUAAUCUGCGAUAAGCGUCGGUAAGGUGAUAUGAACCGUGAUAACCGACGAUUUCCGAAUGGGGAAACCCAGUGCAAUUCGUUGCACUAUCGUUUGAUGAAUACAUAGUCAAACGAAGCGAACCGGGGGAACUGAAACAUCUCAGUACCCCGAGGAAAAGAAAUCAACCGAGAUUCCCCUAGUAGCGGCGAGCGAACGGGGAGCAGCCCAGAGUCUUAAUCAGCAUUAGCAUCAGGAGAACGGUCUGGAAAGGCCGGCAGUAAAGGGUGAUAGCCCCGUAUCCGAAGGUGUUAGUGUUGUGAACUCGACGAGUAGGGCGGGACACGUGUUAUCCUGUCUGAAUAUGGGGGGACCAUCCUCCAAGGCUAAAUACUCCUGAUUGACCGAUAGUGAACCAGUACCGUGAGGGAAAGGCGAAAAGAACCCCGGCGAGGGGAGUGAAAUAGAACCUGAAACCGUGUACGUACAAGCAGUGGGAGCCCCACCACCAAAGCAUUUUCUGGUGUUGAGGACAACUUUGAAGUGACAUUCAACACGCGUUGGCGGAGCGUUUUUUGCGACGCCCAACACACAAAACAAGCAGUGAAUGUGCUUUGGGGUGGGGUGACUGCGUACCUUUUGUAUAAUGGGUCAGCGACUUAUAUUCUGUAGCAAGGUUAACCGUAUAGGGGAGCCGUAGGGAAACCGAGUCUUAACUGGGCGAAUGAGUUGCAGGGUAUAGACCCGAAACCCGGUGAUCUAGCCAUGGGCAGGUUGAAGGUUGGGUAACACUAACUGGAGGACCGAACCGACUAAUGUUGAAAAAUUAGCGGAUGACUUGUGGCUGGGGGUGAAAGGCCAAUCAAACCGGGAGAUAGCUGGUUCUCCCCGAAAGCUAUUUAGGUAGCGCCUCGUGAACUCAUCUUCGGGGUAGAGCACUGUUUCGACUAGGGGGUCAUCCCGACUUACCAACUCGAUGCAAACUACGAAUACCGAAGAAUGUUAUCACGGGAGACACACGGCGGGUGCUAACGUUCGUCGUGAAGAGGGAAACAACCCAGACCGCCAGCUAAGGUCCCAAAGUCAUAGUUAAGUGGGAAACGAAGUGGGAAGGCUCAGACAGCCAGGAUGUUGGCUUAGAAGCAGCCAUCAUUUAAAGAAAGCGUAAUAGCUCACUGGUCGAGUCGGCCUGCGCGGAAGAUGUAACGGGGCUAAACUAUGCACCGAAGCUGCGGCAGCGAUAUGUAAAUAUUGUUGGGUAGGGGAGCGUUCUGUAAGCCUGUGAAGGUGUACUGUGAGGUAUGCUGGAGGUAUCAGAAGUGCGAAUGCUGACAUAAGUAACGAUAAUGCGGGUGAAAAACCCGCACGCCGGAAGACCAAGGGUUCCUGUCCAACGUUAAUCGGGGCAGGGUGAGUCGACCCCUAAGGCGAGGCAGAAAUGCGUAGUCGAUGGGAAACGGGUUAAUAUUCCCGUACUGGUGAUAAUUGCGAUGGGGGGACGGAGAAGGCUAGGCUAUCCGGGCGACGGUUGUCCCGGUUUAAGGAUGUAGGCAGGUGAAUUAGGCAAAUCCGGUUCAUUAUAUGCUGAGGUCCGAUGACGAGUCACUACGGUGAUGAAGUAGCUCAUGCCCCGCUUCCAGGAAAAGCCUCUAAGCUCUAGAUUAUCAUUAAUCGUACCCCAAACCGACACAGGUGGUCAGGUAGAGAAUACUCAGGCGCUUGAGAGAACUCGGGUGAAGGAACUAGGCAAAAUGGUGCCGUAACUUCGGGAGAAGGCACGCUGGCGCUAGGUGAAGUCCCUCGCGGAUGGAGCUGAAGCCAGUCGCAGAUACCAGCUGGCUGCAACUGUUUAUUAAAAACACAGCACUGUGCAAACACGAAAGUGGACGUAUACGGUGUGACGCCUGCCCGGUGCUGGAAGGUUAAUUGAUGGGGUUAUCCGUAAGGAGAAGCUCUUGAUCGAAGCCCCAGUAAACGGCGGCCGUAACUAUAACGGUCCUAAGGUAGCGAAAUUCCUUGUCGGGUAAGUUCCGACCUGCACGAAUGGCGUAAUGAUGGCCAGGCUGUCUCCACCCGAGACUCAGUGAAAUUGAACUCGCUGUGAAGAUGCAGUGUACCCGCGGCAAGACGGAAAGACCCCGUGAACCUUUACUAUAGCUUGACACUGAACAUUGAGCCUUGAUGUGUAGGAUAGGUGGGAGGCUUUGAAGUGUGGACGCCAGUCUGCAUGGAGCCAACCUUGAAAUACCACCCUUUAAUGUUUGAUGUUCUAACGUAGCCCCGUUAUCCGGGGUGCGGACAGUGUCUGGUGGGUAGUUUGACUGGGGCGGUCUCCUCCCAAAGAGUAACGGAGGAGCACGAAGGUUGGCUAAGCAUGGUCGGACAUCAUGCGGUUAGUGCAAAGGCAUAAGCCAGCUUGACUGCGAGAGUGACGGCUCGAGCAGGUACGAAAGUAGGUCUUAGUGAUCCGGUGGUUCUGAAUGGAAGGGCCAUCGCUCAACGGAUAAAAGGUACUCCGGGGAUAACAGGCUGAUACCGCCCAAGAGUUCAUAUCGACGGCGGUGUUUGGCACCUCGAUGUCGGCUCAUCACAUCCUGGGGCUGAAGUAGGUCCCAAGGGUACGGCUGUUCGCCGUUUAAAGUGGUACGCGAGCUGGGUUUAGAACGUCGUGAGACAGUUCGGUCCCUAUCUGCCGUGGGCGUUGGAAGAUUGAAAGGGGCUGCUCCUAGUACGAGAGGACCGGAGUGGACGCACCACUGGUGUUCGGGUUGUCAUGCCAAUGGCAUUGCCCGGUAGCUAAGUGCGGAAGAGAUAACCGCUGAAAGCAUCUAAGCGGGAAACUUGCCUUGAGAUGAGUCUUCCCUGACUCUUUAAGGGUCCUAAAGGAACGUUUAAGACUAAGACGUUGAUAGGUUGGGUGUGUAAGCGUAGCGAUACGUUGAGCUAACCAAUACUAAUGAACCGUGAGGCUUAACCUGACAACACCGAAGGUGUUUUAG
This 3047-nucleotide ribosomal RNA is filed under the name Providencia rettgeri. RNAcentral's name for it is "bacterial LSU rRNA". It matches the Rfam family "Bacterial large subunit ribosomal RNA". The record is from RNAcentral. Lineage: Bacteria; Pseudomonadati; Pseudomonadota; Gammaproteobacteria; Enterobacterales; Morganellaceae.